GUCGCCUCAACUGCGCGUGGGGGGCGAGGCGCCCACCCCGCACAAGAACAGAGGAGCGGGGGAGAAGAGACGGCCUCGCUGCUCACUGGGCCCCUUUGUGUGACUAAAUUUGGCAAGAAUAUGGAUCUGAGCCAGUCUUUCCACGUGUGCUCCCAGCUCCCAGCUGAGAAGGCCAAGGGUUCUCUUCCGGGAAAACCAGUUUGGCUAUUAAGGGAACCUGUCGACACAGAGCAGAGCAAGAUAAGGCCAGGUUUCAGAAAGAAUAGCUGUUUACCAUCAAAGCAACUGGGUUCCACACAGACAUGGUAUAUUAUACACAAAGACGAAGGAUAUGGGUCCACUCUCCGUCAAGGAAUGUUAUAAAUCCACGUGGUGUCCCUGGGUGUCAGGCUUGGCCAGAACAUCUGUGGCUGGAGAAGCCAAUGUGGCUCAGGAGCUCCCUGCUGGCUGCACAUCUGAACGGCUUCAGGAGUACAAGUUUCCCCAUCAAAGGUUUGGAAUAAAUUACACUAAAAAAUUGGCUCCAGAACGAGUUAUUUUGGACAGGACAAGGUGAAGCUCUCAUGAGGUGUGUUAAAUGCAUCCCUCUGUGCAGUGGGCAACUGCGGGAGAGCUGGAGGGGGUGGUCAAAGGCUGUGGGGAAAGUGGAGAAACUCUAACCCUGCACACACUUGGACAGAAAUGCCAAAUCUACUGACUGGACAAGAUUUGGGAAAUUCAUUUUUUAAACAAAUGGUUUUACAAAGCUUUAUAACUUAAUUUGAAUAUAUAUCUUAUAAAUAGUCAUCCUUUUCCUGAUACUUCAUUUUCAAAGGAUGUCCUUUCCUCCCUCAUGGAGUACUGGAGCCAGCUCACACUAGCUUAUGAGAGCUGAUUGUUAAGUUUUCAGGACUUUUGUGAGCCAGUUGUCAAACACAGCUGCUAUUAAAAAUUAAAUUACAUAAACUUUCAAAGUUAUCUUAAAAACAAGGGUAAGAAAUGUCCCAAACUCAUUAUCAUUUCCUAAUUAUUUUGCUACAUUUUAUUAUGAUCUAUGUUCUUGAGGUUAGUUACAUCUCUUGUACCUAUUUGAUGGAAAUACUGUAUAAUGGUGGGCCACUGUGUAUCUCAUUACAUCUCCAUGUUCAGUGACAUCACAUGGAUAGUUUCAAGUCAACAUGUUGGGAGUAGUUGCCUCACAGAAACUGACUACAAAUCAGGGCGUUGACUUAUCAUUUCAUUGAUGAUCCAGACAAGAAAGUGGAGGAAAUGUUAAUAAUGCAUACUAAAUUUAAACAUGUGUUAUGCUUGCAGUUAUUACAUAUGAAUAGCCUAAACAUUGAGAAAAGAUUCUUCCAGUAUUUAACAACUAUUAAAAUGGUAUCCAAUUCAGCAAAGAAGUUGCCCAUGUCAUCAGUGAACAAGUGUUGUACUGACAUAAGUCUUUGUUGUUUAUUAUUCCUUAAUAUAAGUGAAAAUACUAAACAACAAUUUAUGCAGGAAUUAUACUUGUUAACUGCCAUUAUAGGUUGGCUAAGGACACGAGUUAGAUAAAAAUCAAGGAGAGCAUCCUGUGAGAAAUCAACUUACUACAUAGAAUUUACAAUAUAGAGUUUUGUAUAUUUUAUUAUACUUAUAAAUUAUGUCCUUAUAUCCUUUAUGUUGGUAACAUUGAUAGUAAAUCAAUGCACAUAUUUAUGGAUACAUUUCUUUCCUGGAGAGUUGAUUGUUAGACUUUUACU
Long non-coding RNA from Homo sapiens (human), 1721 nucleotides. Ensembl annotates it as LEF1 antisense RNA 1. Its record names the gene LEF1-AS1. NCBI's taxonomy places the organism in Eukaryota, Metazoa, Chordata, Mammalia, Primates, Hominidae. The record is from Ensembl.